CCUGGAUUCGUCCACAAUAGCGUCCCGAGGCCUCCAUUUCAAUGGGCCAAACACCGGAGGAACAGUCGACGCCCACGUCAAUUGCGUCAGAAGCUACAAUGUAGCUUAUUGGUCAAACUAACGUCACCCCCUCACGAUUUUACAAAAUAAAAGCAGGCACAUUAUGUUAAAUAGGAAAAGGGUGAUUUUACACACCAAAAAAAGGUCCACGACACAUAUUUAGAUGAUAUAUAUGUAUUUAUUCUAUUAAGAAUGUUGCCAAGCUUGAAUGAUGCUUUAUACAAGUAAAAAUAUAUCGCUUCCGCCGUAAAUACUUUUAUUUUGAAAAGGACCAGUACAGCUUCCUACUAUAAAAUGCCUCGUAUACUAUCUACUGAAAUGCCGUGCACUGUCAUUUGUGAGAUGCUCUUCUACACACAAGUGAGAUUCUGUGCAGUCUCAUUACUGAGAGCCUCUUAUACACACAAGUGAAUAACCUCUCACACAUAAGACUGAAAAAUAUCUCACAUUCCUUGGUCAAACGUUCGUAUAAAUGCAUGUGAAAACAUCUGUACAGAUACGUAUGACUUAAAAAGCUAUCAGACAUAAGUCUCGGUAAUUAUAAGUAUGGGGGUAAUUAUAAGUAUCCACAUUGAUGCAUGCCAUUGAAUUAUAAUAAAUUGAAUGGUUGAAUAAUCAAGAAAGCAAGAUAUUUUCAUUAGCACAUAUAUUUUAAGCUUGAUAAAGAUAGAUCUAAAUAAAGUUUAAGAUUUUUUUAGCAUUAUUGAAUAAAUUAUAUUGUGUGUUUUAAACGUGGCAUUAAAAAACAACAACAAUAAUAUUACAUUUUAUUUUUAGGUGUCUUUCAGGACACUCAAGAUUGCCGUACAAGGUAAAAGGUAAAAAAUAAGUUAAAAUACACACAUACAGAUAAAACCCACAACAAUGUUAAAUUAAAAAGAAUAAUGGAAUUAUGAGGAAGAAAGCCUGUCUGAAUAAAUAUGUUUCAAGAUGUUACUUGGCUGAGAUUGUAAGGAAGUCCAAAGUAUUGUGCGGCCUCAUCAACAUCAAAUUAUAAUCGAUAUAAGGGUCAGCAGGGAUGAAAUCGAACUACAUAUUCACACACAUUCAGUACUAGCCUACAUUCUAUAAUGAAGUGGAACACUGAUAAAGGUAUAGUUUAUGGUUUUUAUUUAAAACUGUAUUUUUGAUGACUGCUGUUAGUUAAAACGUCCACUAGAUGGCAUUAUAUGAUCUUGCAUUGCACUAAAACCAGGUAUAUGAGCGUUGCAUUUUGGGAAAUGAAGAUGCUAUGAACGCUAAUGGAGAAAACGCUAACGCUAGCGCGACCUCUUUCAAACCAAAGAAAAACUGACGAGUUCCAGACUGCUCUAAUCAGCGAAUUACAUCUGAGUUCUGUGUGAUACAAGUGUCUGACAGAAUUGAUGUCAAGGAGGAUUCGGCCUGAUUCAAUGAGGGAUUGAGGACCAAUUUUUUUCAACUUCAGCCAACUGUUGGAGCAUCACCCAAAGCAGAUAAGGUCGUGGAGGAAAAGACGUUAGUUUGACCAAUAAGCUACAUUGUAGCUUAUGACACAAUUGAAGUGGGCGUCAACUGUUCCUCCGGCUUUUGGCACAUUUAAAUGGAGGCCAGUAUCCGGACGAGUCCAGGUUACCUGCUGAUAUCGACAAAGAGAAGCACAGGAUAAAUUGCCACUCAGUGACGGUAUGAAUGUGGGUGCCAAUGGUCGUCUGUCUCUUUGUGUACCCUGUGAUUAAUCAUUUCAGCGUGCUGCCCGUCUUCCAUUGCAAGUAUUGGUGGCUCGGUGGUAGAGUUUUCGCACGCUGCGCGGGAACCCCGAGACUGAUGCCCGGGCACGCCGAUGCAUCUUGGGGUAGCCUUUGCAGCUAGCCUCGCAUCGGGGCAACAGUUCCGCUACGACAACGCGAGCAGACCAGGAUAUACGGUGUUGGAAAUGUCCCACACUACAACAAAUCAUUAUUUUAUCCACACUGGUUUGAGUGCAAUAUUGUUGUGGUUGGUUCGUUGUUUAAAAUGUGUAAAAGAAAUAAUGUUUGUUUUGCAUGUGGGAUGAGAAUUCAGUAAAACGGCAUGUGAGGGACUAACUUGUCCCCCCCCUCCACAGUACUUAAGUUACUGAAUAUGUAUAUAAAAAUGGAUCUUAAGCUACUAUACCGAGUGUGGUUUGAUUGUCAAUAUCAGUUUGCAUAUGACUGAUGAAAAAGGUAAAAUUUCAGAUUUGAAGAAGUCCAUUGGAACUGUUUUGAAAUAAAAAAAACCAUCCCACCUUGUUUCCAAUUGCCAAAUAUAUAUGCCUUGUAGACUGAAGUGCAAAUUGUGUUUAUUCACAGAUGCAAGACAGUGUUAAAGUAUAAGAAUAAAAUGUCGCAGUAAGGUUUAUUGACCACAU
Molecule: long non-coding RNA, 2410 nt
Organism: Corythoichthys intestinalis (scribbled pipefish)
Lineage: Eukaryota; Metazoa; Chordata; Actinopteri; Syngnathiformes; Syngnathidae
Exons: 4
Source: RefSeq, a predicted model, not a curated record